This is a non-coding RNA of Pelobates cultripes (western spadefoot toad), 550 nucleotides long. The record is from the annotation of a GenBank genome assembly. Lineage: Eukaryota; Metazoa; Chordata; Amphibia; Anura; Pelobatidae.
UCCCUUGGCGCUGGCUCAGCUCUUCCCACACUCCUCCCCACUGACGUCAGUCGGCGGGGGAGAUCUAAUGUGCAUGCGCUCGCGUUAGGAUUUCCUUAUAAAAGGGAAUUAUUCAGUGCUUUUCUAUGGGGAUUCUGGUGAUGCUGGAAGUCCUCAUACAUAACGUGAGGACGCCCGGCGUCAUUUAGGCGACCAAAAGUUACCUAUCCACCCGGGAAGUGGCUUAGAAGAGGAGUUAACCCUAGCAGGUAAUUAUUGCGGUUUAUAAAAUCUGCAAUAAUUACAUGUUCAGGGUUAAGAGUGAUGGGAGUUUGCACCCAAACCACUUGAAUGAGCUGACGUGUUCUGGGUGCCUACAGUGUCGCUUUAAUACUCUUAGCAUGUGGAUGUUGCUUGACUAGCUGUGACGGACAGCAUAAAACUGCAUGUAUCUGCAACAGUACCUGUCUGUUUACACAAUUUUACCAGCGUUAUUAUGCUAGUUUUUUUUAUUUUUUUAUUCUAUGGUAGAAUUUAUAGAGGUUAAUUUACAGGAGCACAGGUGAAGAAC